GCUCAGUAACACGUGGAUAACCUACCCUUAGGACUGGGAUAACCUUGGGAAACUGAGGAUAAUACCGGAUAGGCAAUUAUUCCUGGAAUGGAUUUUUGUUUAAAUGUUUUUUCGCCUAAGGAUGGGUCUGCGGCCGAUUAGGUAGUUGGUUAGGUAAUGGCUUACCAAGCCGUUGAUCGGUACGGGUUGUGAGAGCAAGAGCCCGGAGAUGGAACCUGAGACAAGGUUCCAGGCCCUACGGGGUGCAGCAGGCGCGAAACCUCCGCAAUGUGAGAAAUCGCGACGGGGGGAUCCCAAGUGCCAUUCUUAACGGGAUGGCUUUUCAUUAGUGUAAAGAGCUUUUGGAAUAAGAGCUGGGCAAGACCGGUGCCAGCCGCCGCGGUAACACCGGCAGCUCUAGUGGUAGCAAUUUUUAUUGGGCCUAAAGCGUCCGUAGCCGGUUUAAUAAGUCUCUGGUGAAAUCCUGUAGCUUAACUGUGGGAAUUGCUGGAGAUACUAUUAGACUUGAGACCGGGAGAGGUUAGAGGUACUCCCAGGGUAGAGGUGAAAUUCUGUAAUCCUGGGAGGACCGCCUGUUGCGAAGGCGUCUAACUGGAACGGUUCUGACGGUGAGGGACGAAAGUUAGGGGCGCGAACCGGAUUAGAUACCCGGGUAGUCCUAACUGUAAACGAUGCGGACUUGGUGUUGGGGUGGCUUUGAGCUGCUCCAGUGCCGAAGGGAAGCUGUUAAGUCCGCCGCCUGGGAAGUACGGUCGCAAGACUGAAACUUAAGGGAAUUGGCGGGGGAGCACCACAACGCGUGGAGCCUGCGGUUUAAUUGGAUUCAACGCCGGACAUCUCACCAGAGGCGACAGCUGUAUGAUAGCCAGGCUGAUGACUUUGCUUGACUAGCUGAGAGGAGGUGCAUGGCCGCCGUCAGCUCGUACCGUGAGGCGUCCUGUUAAGUCAGGCAACGAGCGAGACCCACGCCCUUAGUUACCAGCGGAUCCUUUUGGAUGCCGGGCACACUAAGGGGACCGCCUGUGAUAAACAGGAGGAAGGAGUGGACGACGGUAGGUCCGUAUGCCCCGAAUCCUCUGGGCAACACGCGGGCUACAAUGGCUAAGACAAUGGGUUCCGACACCGAAAGGUGGAGGUAAUCCUCUAAACUUAGUCGUAGUUCGGAUUGAGGACUGUAACUCGUUCUCAUGAAGCUGGAAUGCGUAGUAAUCGCGUAUCACUAUUGCGCGGUGAAUACGUCCCUGCUCCUUGCACACACCG
This 1260-nucleotide ribosomal RNA is filed under the name uncultured archaeon. RNAcentral describes it as "bacterial SSU rRNA". It matches the Rfam family "Archaeal small subunit ribosomal RNA", at positions 88 to 1348 of the family's 1478-position model. The record is from RNAcentral.